Molecule: ribosomal RNA, 443 nt
Filed under: uncultured bacterium
Lineage: Bacteria
Description: bacterial SSU rRNA
Rfam family: Bacterial small subunit ribosomal RNA
Source: RNAcentral
CCUACGGGUGGCAGCAGUGGGGAAUAUUGGGCAAUGGAGGAAACUCUUACCCAGCAAUGCCGCGUGAGCGAAGAAGGUCUUCGGAUUGUAAAGCUCUUUGAUUGGGGACGAAGUAAGUGACGGUACCCAAGGAACAAGCCCCGGCUAACUAUGUGCCAGCAGCCGCGGUAAUACGUAGGUGGCGAGCGUUGUCCGGAAUUACUGGGUGUAAAGGGCGUGUAGGCGGGUUCUUAAGUCAGAUGUGAAAUCCCGGGGCUCAACUCCGGAGCUGCAUCUGAAACUGGGGAUCUUGAGUGCUGGAGGGGAAAGUGGAAUUCCUAGUGUAGCGGUGAAAUGCGUAGAGAUUAGGAGGAACACCAGUGGCGAAGGCGGCUUUCUGGACAGCAACUGACGCUGAGGCGCGAAAGCGUGGGGAGCAAACAGGAUUAGAUACCCUUGUAGUC